GAAACGGCCCUUUUCAGGGCCACAAAUUUGUCAACGAGAUAGAAU
Non-coding RNA from Daphnia magna, 45 nucleotides. Lineage: Eukaryota; Metazoa; Arthropoda; Branchiopoda; Diplostraca; Daphniidae. The record is from Rfam.